RNAcentral lists this ribosomal RNA (497 nucleotides) under uncultured bacterium. Its description in RNAcentral is "partial 16S ribosomal RNA". It matches the Rfam family "Bacterial small subunit ribosomal RNA", at positions 28 to 507 of the family's 1533-position model. The record is from RNAcentral.
GAUGAACGCUGGCGGCGUGCCUAAUACAUGCAAGUCGAGCGAUCAGACGAGGAGCUUGCUCCUCUGACGUUAGCGGCGGACGGGUGAGUAACACGUGGAUAACCUACCUAUAAGACUGGGAUAACUUCGGGAAACCGGAGCUAAUACCGGAUAAUAUAUUGAACCGCAUGGUUCAAUAGUGAAAGACGGUUUUGCUGUCACUUAUAGAUGGAUCCGCGCCGCAUUAGCUAGUUGGUAAGGUAACGGCUUACCAAGGCAACGAUGCGUAGCCGACCUGAGAGGGUGAUCGGCCACACUGGAACUGAGACACGGUCCAGACUCCUACGGGAGGCAGCAGUAGGGAAUCUUCCGCAAAGGGCGAAAGCCUGACGGAGCAACGCCGCGUGAGUGAUGAAGGUCUUCGGAUCGUAAAACUCUGUUAUUAGGGAAGAACAAAUGUGUAAGUAACUAUGCACGUCUUGACGGCACCUAAUCAGAAAGCCACGGCUAACUACGUG